AAUCAACGCUGGCGGCGCGCUUAACACAUGCAAGUCGAGCGAGAAAGGGGAGCAAUCCCUGAGUACAGCGGCGUACGGGUGAGUAACACGUGGAUAAUCUACCUUCUAGUGGGGAAUAACCCUGGGAAACCGGGGCUAAUACCGCAUAAGCCUGUAAAGGGAAAGCAGCAAUGCGCUGGAAGAGGAGUCCGCGGCCGAUUAGCUAGUUGGUGAGGUAACGGCCCACCAAGGCGACGAUCGGUAGCCGGCCUGAGAGGGCACACGGCCACACUGGCACUGAAACACGGGCCAGACUCCUACGGGAGGCAGCAGUGGGGAAUCUUGCACAAUGGAGGCAACUCUGAUGCAGCGACGCCGCGUGAGCGAUGAAGCCCCUUGGGGUGUAAAGCUCUUUCGGUCAGGAACGAAUAUAGACGGUACCUGAAGAAGAAGACUGCGGCUAACUACGUGCCAGCAGCCG
RNAcentral lists this ribosomal RNA (460 nucleotides) under uncultured bacterium. Its description in RNAcentral is "bacterial SSU rRNA". It matches the Rfam family "Bacterial small subunit ribosomal RNA", at positions 32 to 517 of the family's 1533-position model. The record is from RNAcentral.